CCUACGGGAGGCUGCAGUGAGGAAUAUUGGUCAAUGGGCGCGAGCCUGAACCAGCCAAGCAGCGUGAAGGAUGACUGCCCUACGGGUUGUAAACUUCUUUUAUAAAGGAAUAAAUUGUGGCACGUGUGCCCUUAUGUAUGUACUUUAUGAAUAAGGAUCGGCUAACUCCGUGCCAGCAGCCGCGGUAAUACGGAGGGUCCGAGCGUUAUCCGGAUUGAUUGGGUUUAAAGGGAGCGUAGAUGGGUUGUUAAGUCAGUUGUGAAAGUCAGUGGCUCAACCGUAAAAUUGCAUUUGAAACUGGCAGGCUUGAGUUCGGUAGAGGUAGGCAGAAUUCGUGGUGUAGCGGUGAAAUGCUUAGAUAUCGCGAAGAACUCCGAUUGCGAAGGCAGCUUACUGGACUGCCACUGACGUUGAGGCUCGAAAGUGUGGGUAUCAAACAGGAUUAGAUACCCGUGUAGUC
Molecule: ribosomal RNA, 460 nt
Filed under: uncultured bacterium
Lineage: Bacteria
Description: partial 16S ribosomal RNA
Rfam family: Bacterial small subunit ribosomal RNA
Source: RNAcentral